CAGAUAAGGAGCUUGCUCCUUUGACGUUAGCGGCGGACGGGUGAGUAACACGUGGGUAACCUACCUAUAAGACUGGGAUAACUUCGGGAAACCGGAGCUAAUACCGGAUAAUAUUUCGAACCGCAUGGUUCGAUAGUGAAAGAUGGCCCUGCUAUCACUUAUAGAUGGACCUGCGCCGUAUUAGCUAGUUGGUAAGGUAACGGCUUACCAAGGCAACGAUACGUAGCCGACCUGAGAGGGUGAUCGGCCACACUGGAACUGAGACACGGUCCAGACUCCUACGGGAGGCAGCAGUAGGGAAUCUUCCGCAAUGGGCGAAAGCCUGACGGAGCAACGCCGCGUGAGUGAUGAAGGUCUUCGGAUCGUAAAACUCUGUUAUUAGGGAAGAACAAACGUGUAAGUAACUGUGCACGUCUUGACGGUACCUAAUCAGAAAGCCACGGCUAACUACGUGCCAGCAGCCGCGGUAAUACGUAGGUGGCAAGCGUUAUCCGGAAUUAUUGGGCGUAAAGCGCGCGUAGGCGGUUUUUUAAGUCUGAUGUGAAAGCCCACGGCUCAACCGUGGAGGGUCAUUGGAAACUGGGAAACUUGAGUGCAGAAGAGGAAAGUGGAAUUCCAUGUGUAGCGGUGAAAUGCGCAGAGAUAUGGAGGAACACCAGUGGCGAAGGCGACUUUCUGGUCUG
This 683-nucleotide ribosomal RNA is filed under the name uncultured Bacilli bacterium. Its description in RNAcentral is "bacterial SSU rRNA". It matches the Rfam family "Bacterial small subunit ribosomal RNA", at positions 70 to 736 of the family's 1533-position model. Lineage: Bacteria; Bacillati; Bacillota; Bacilli. The record is from RNAcentral.